RNAcentral lists this ribosomal RNA (459 nucleotides) under uncultured bacterium. RNAcentral describes it as "partial 16S ribosomal RNA". It matches the Rfam family "Bacterial small subunit ribosomal RNA", at positions 338 to 795 of the family's 1533-position model. The record is from RNAcentral.
CCUACGGGUGGCAGCAGUGAGGAAUAUUGGUCAAUGGGCGCGAGCCUGAACCAGCCAAGUCGCGUGAGGGAAGACGGUCCUAUGGAUUGUAAACCUCUUUUGUCGGGGAGCAAAAGACGCCACGUGUGGCGUUCCGAGAGUACCCGACGAACAAGCAUCGGCUAACUCCGUGCCAGCAGCCGCGGUAAUACGGAGGAUGCGAGCGUUAUCCGGAUUUAUUGGGUUUAAAGGGUGCGCAGGCGGAAGAUCAAGUCAGCGGUAAAAUUGAGAGGCUCAACCUCUUCGAGCCGUUGAAACUGGUGUUCUUGAGUGAGUGAGAAGUAUGCGGAAUGCGUGGUGUAGCGGUGAAAUGCAUAGAUAUCACGCAGAACUCCGAUUGCGAAGGCAGCAUACCGGCGCGCAACUGACGCUCAUGCACGAAAGUGUGGGUAUCGAACAGGAUUAGAUACCCGUGUAGUC